RNAcentral lists this ribosomal RNA (301 nucleotides) under uncultured bacterium. Its description in RNAcentral is "partial 16S ribosomal RNA". It matches the Rfam family "Bacterial small subunit ribosomal RNA", at positions 509 to 807 of the family's 1533-position model. The record is from RNAcentral.
CAGUCGCCGCGGGAAUACGGAGGGUGCAAGCGUUAAUCGGAAUUACUGGGCGUAAAGCGCACGCAGGCGGUCUGUCAAGUCGGAUGUGAAAUCCCCGGGCUCAACCUGGGAACUGCAUUCGAAACUGGCAGGCUAGAGUAUGGCAGAGGGGGGUGGAAUUCCGCGUGUAGCAGUGAAAUGCGUAGAUAUGCGGAGGAACACCGAUGGCGAAGGCAGCCCCCUGGGCCAAUACUGACGCUCAUGCACGAAAGCGUGGGGAGCAAACAGGAUUAGAUACCCGAGUAGUCCCUGUCUCUUAUAC